UAGAUAGACACAAUUAUUAAUAUAGUCUAACCAAUGCAAUGUUUAGAUAGAAACAAUCCUAAAUAUAGUCAAACGAAUGCUAUGUUUAGAUAGAAACAAUCCUAAAUAUAGUUAAACCAGAGCUAUAAUUGGAUAUUGUUAUUCUGCGGUCUAUAUGUUGUAAUAACAAAACGUGAAAAUGCUACUUUUCUCUAGUACACCCAC
RNAcentral lists this long non-coding RNA (204 nucleotides) under Mytilus galloprovincialis (Mediterranean mussel). The record is from RNAcentral. Lineage: Eukaryota; Metazoa; Mollusca; Bivalvia; Mytilida; Mytilidae.